Molecule: ribosomal RNA, 440 nt
Filed under: uncultured bacterium
Lineage: Bacteria
Description: partial 16S ribosomal RNA
Rfam family: Bacterial small subunit ribosomal RNA
Source: RNAcentral
CCUACGGGGGGCAGCAGUGGGGGAUAUUGCACAAUGGGGGAAACCCUGAUGCAGCGACGCCGCGUGAGUGAAGAAGUAUUUCGGUAUGUAAAGCUCUAUCAGCAGGGAAGAAAAUGACAGUACCUGACCAAGAAGCCCCGGCGAAACACGUGCCAGCAGCCGCGGUGAAACGCAGGGGGCCAGCGUUAUCCGGAUUUACUGGGUGUAAAGGGAGCGUAGACGGUUAUGUAAGUCUGGAGUGAAAGCCCGGGGGCCAACCCCGGGACUGCUGUGGAAACUGGGUGACUGGAGUACAGGAGGGGCAGGCGGAAUGCCUGGUGUAGCGGUGAAAUGCGUAGAUAUCAGGAGGAACACCGGCGGCGAAGGCGGCCUGCUGGACUGAAACUGACGUUGAGGCUCGAAAGCGUGGGGAGCAAACAGGAUUAGAUACCCGGGUAGUC